RNAcentral lists this long non-coding RNA (1222 nucleotides) under Dermacentor andersoni. RNAcentral's name for it is "uncharacterized LOC126537935". Lineage: Eukaryota; Metazoa; Arthropoda; Arachnida; Ixodida; Ixodidae. The record is from RNAcentral.
ACGCCGUUUGAGCCGCUUCCCGCCACCGGAUCAAUCCGACAGAAGCUGAGAAAAGUUUGCGCAGGCUGUGGCGUGGUACGGGUUAUUCGUAGGCAUGGUCAGCCCAUGCCGGGCUCAGUUGUUCGCGAGAACUCACAUGUGAACGAUUCCGCGACGAGACGUGUUUAGCGGAGCAUUGCAGGCAGCAUUUUGGUCCGCUAAUGUUGGUUGGUGUGUGUUGUCUGCGGCUUGUCAAGAUCUGCGCGAUGGAAGAAGCGAGGAAACACCGACGCUCCUUGCGUGCCGCAGUGUGCGAAGUGAGCGCAUAAAGGAAAGAUUAGUCUUCAUUGCUUUCCGAAUGAUGUGGUCAAGAGAAGAGAACCGAUGUUGAGGCUCUGCAUCGACGAGCCGCUGUCGCGGUCGUGCAGCGCGAACUUCGUCGACAACGACUUCUUCAAGGCGUCAACAGUGCUUCACAAAAGCGACGGCACACAUGGAAGACAUGAAAGGGUAAGCGCCGACUCCUGUCAUCAGAUAUGUGUUAAUUUAACAUUUUUUUUUUUUAAGCAUGGCGUGUCACAAGUGAUGGUGCUAGUAUACGAGAGGGCCUCUAGGGUUUCUAGUUUACCGUGCAUGAAAGCAGUGAAAGUAAAAAAAUAGUAAUUGUGGGCUGUGUUGUCUAUAGUUUUGCUGUCUGUUAAAAAAAAAAGAAUGCUAAUGAGAAUCCCAUCCUACUAGAAGCUUGUUGGCAUUGUGCUAGUGAAACGACAUAGCUGUUAUGAAGAUGGCUAACUGCUAUUUGAGCUUAAGUUGUGCACAGACAUUAGAGAAGAUACCCCACGACUUGUACCUAAUGGAAACAAUGGCUGGUGAAGAGGAGUCUGGAAAUAAAAUGGUCGAAGAGAAUAGUUGAAAAUUGACUCUAGCAGUAAUGUGAAGUUGAAGAUUUAAAUAAGAAGAAAAUAGGUACCCAUUACUUCUUUUUUCGCCCGGAAAACGAGAUGUGCCCCAUCCACAAAGCCCUUUUCACUUCCAGCAUGAAGCAGGAUGAGCCGACCGCCUUAGCCGCUUGGUGCGGGAAGCCCAGUUGUGAGACCCUUGCCAAAGGUGUCCUCACGUGAUGACACAAUGGUUUCUUCCCACAUUCCCACACCUUAUCUUAUGUGUGCCCAGCAUUCAUCCAUGUCUCGUAGAGGUAAUAUGUAGUCCUGCAAAAGCAAGAUAAAUAUGCGUCAUUUUUUUU